AGAUUGAACGCUAGCGGCGUGCCUAACACAUGCAAGUCGAGCGGUAACAGGUGUAGCAAUACAUGCUGACGAGCGGCGAACGGGUGAGUAAUGCUUCGGAAUCUACCUUAUGGUGGGGAAUAACUAGCCGAAAGGUUAGCUAAUACCGCAUACGUCCUACGGGAGAAAGCAGGGGAUCGCAAGACCUUGCGCCAAAAGAUGAGCCGAAGUCGGAUUAGCUAG
This 222-nucleotide ribosomal RNA is filed under the name uncultured soil bacterium. Its description in RNAcentral is "partial 16S ribosomal RNA". It matches the Rfam family "Bacterial small subunit ribosomal RNA", at positions 26 to 248 of the family's 1533-position model. The record is from RNAcentral.